This 1349-nucleotide long non-coding RNA is filed under the name Ananas comosus (pineapple). Its description in RNAcentral is "long non-coding RNA (ACOM_LNC023617)". The record is from RNAcentral. Lineage: Eukaryota; Viridiplantae; Streptophyta; Magnoliopsida; Poales; Bromeliaceae.
AGCAGCAGCUGGACGAGGUCCGGCCGGCCCUGCGCGAUGGCUGAGUGCAGCAGGCAGAUGCCGGAUGCGUCGACGGCGUCGGCCGGGCGCCACUCCGGGUCGCUCCGCUCCAGCACGGCGCGGGCGGCGUCCAUGGAAAAGAAAGAAAAAAGAACGAGAAAAAAAAAAGAGGAGAGAGAAAGAGGAAAGAGAAAAAUGUAUAAGGGUAUUUUGGUCAGUUUGCUGAAAAAACGGACCGAAUCUGCAAAAACGAAAAAGAUGGCCCGAUUUUGCAAAAGCCCAAAAUAAGUGAAUUUUUUAUGCAAAAAGGGAAAUCAAAGUGUUUUUUUUUUAUCCUGUUUCUUUAUUUAUUUUGCUAUAAUUUUUUUAUUAAAAUUAUAUUUAUGUUUGUUAAAAUAUUAAAUUUUAUUAAACAAAAUAUGUGUAUACAAAGCUUGAACAAAAGUUUAAAGUGUAUCAAGAUAGCUCCUGUGGUUUUACACUUUCUCACUUUAGUACCUUGUGGUUUAAAGUGUAUCAAGUUAGUACCCUAUGGUUUUUUUUUUUUUAAAUUAUCCAUUUUAUUAAUUUGUUUUGUUAAAUUAGUGACAAAGUUAAAAUUCAAGGUACUAAAGUGAAUAUUCGAUAAACCUAGAUAGGGUAUCUAAAAUUUUUUGUAUAUAAUUUAACAAAAUAUUAACGGAGAAAGAAAAGUGACAAAGUUAAAACUAAAGGAUACUAAAGUAAAUAUUCGAUAAAUCUAGGUGGGUAUCUAAAGUUUUUUGUAUAUAAUAAUUUAACGAAAAUAUUAACAGAGAAGCCGAAGAAAAGAUAAAAGUGAAAUCACAGGGUGCUAAAUUGAUGCACUUUAAACCACAGGGUACUAAGGUGAGAAAGUGUGAAACCACAUUGUACUAAAUUGAUACAUUUUAAACCACAAAGUACUAAAGUAAAAAAGUGCGAAACCACAACGGUGAUAUUUAAAAUUUUUCCUUUUCUUAUUUAGGAAAAACUACCAACCACCCCCGCCAGGUUUCGUACUUUCUCACUUUAGUGCCCUGUGGUUUAAAGUGUAUCAAUUUGGUGCCCUAUGGUUUCAAUUUUAUCUUUUCGACAAUUUUUUUCGUUAAUAUUUCAUUAAAUUAUAUACAAAAAACUUCAGUACUCAUCUAAAUUUAUCGAAUAUUCAUUUUAGUAUCCUUUAAUUUUAACUUUGUCACUGAUUUAAGAAAAAAAAUAGUAAAAUUGAUAAUAAAAAGAGAAAAUGAAACCACAUGGCAUCAAAUUGAUACACUUUAAACUAUAGGGUACUAAAAUGAGAAAGUAUGAAACCACAUGGGGUUUUUUGAAGUUUUCCUUUUAUUUAUUAU